ACAGCACUUCACCUCCCAAGACAUUUUGGAUUUGUGCUGCCAAGAAGAUAAGGAGGAGGCAUUGAAAGUACUCAACGGACACAAAUGGAAAGGACAAGUGCUCAAAGCCAAGCUUGCCAAGCCAGUUGAGGACCCGGACACUAAGAGCCUCGCUCUGAAGAGAAGCCAAGAGGAAUCUGAUGAAAACACCAAAGAAGCUAAGAGGAGGAAGGAGGAGGACAGCUGACCAGUAGAAGAGAGGUUAAACAACAUGGUGACUCCACUGUGGAACCAGCCGUAUGAGGACCAGCUAUCCACCAAACAGACCAACACCAGGGAGUUUCUGAGGAAUUAUCCAAGAUGCUGCAAUGGAACAUUGGGGAGAUGUCUCCCUGGCUGAAGCAACAAAGGAAGAACCACAGUGGGAUGGCAUGUGAGUUGCAGCCAAUUAAGCCAUCGCCAGUAUUAGAGAGUUAUCGCAACAAGUGUGAGUUUACCAUCAGAAAGAGUGUCUAUGGCAUCG
Long non-coding RNA from Patiria miniata (bat star), 502 nucleotides. RefSeq lists it as uncharacterized. The record is from RefSeq and is a predicted model, not a curated record. The transcript is spliced from 6 exons. Lineage: Eukaryota; Metazoa; Echinodermata; Asteroidea; Valvatida; Asterinidae.